Molecule: small nucleolar RNA, 101 nt
Organism: Jaculus jaculus (lesser Egyptian jerboa)
Lineage: Eukaryota; Metazoa; Chordata; Mammalia; Rodentia; Dipodidae
Product: small nucleolar RNA U13
Exons: 1
Source: RefSeq, a predicted model, not a curated record
ACCUUUUAUUGGUUCAUAAACAUGACUGGGAAUCCACAUGCUUAUGUAACAUGUGCCUCCCACAAACCUUGUUUCAAUGUUGUUAUAAUAUCUGUCUAACA